CCUACGGGGGGCAGCAGUGGGGAAUAUUGGACAAUGGGCGAAAGCCUGAUCCAGCCAUGCCGCGUGUGUGAAGAAGGACUUCGGGUUGUAAAGCACUUUCAGUGGGGAAGAAAGCCUUGGGGCUAAUACCCUCGAGGAAGGACAUCACCCACAGAAGAAGCACCGGCUAACUCCGUGCCAGCAGCCGCGGUAAAACGGAGGGUGCGAGCGUUAAUCGGAAUUACUGGGCGUAAAGCGCGCGUAGGCGGUCUGAUAAGCCGGUUGUGAAAGCCCCGGGCUCAACCUGGGAACGGCAUCCGGAACUGUCAGGCUAGAGUGCAGGAGAGGAAGGUAGAAUUCCCGGUGUAGCGGUGAAAUGCGUAGAGAUCGGGAGGAAUACCAGUGGCGAAGGCGGCCUUCUGGACUGACACUGACGCUGAGGUGCGAAAGCGUGGGUAGCAAACAGGAUUAGAUACCCUAGUAGAC
This 465-nucleotide ribosomal RNA is filed under the name Vreelandella stevensii. RNAcentral's name for it is "partial 16S ribosomal RNA". It matches the Rfam family "Bacterial small subunit ribosomal RNA", at positions 338 to 795 of the family's 1533-position model. The record is from RNAcentral. Lineage: Bacteria; Pseudomonadati; Pseudomonadota; Gammaproteobacteria; Oceanospirillales; Halomonadaceae.